Molecule: long non-coding RNA, 277 nt
Filed under: Phoenix dactylifera (date palm)
Lineage: Eukaryota; Viridiplantae; Streptophyta; Magnoliopsida; Arecales; Arecaceae
Description: long non-coding RNA (PDAC_LNC005997)
Source: RNAcentral
AUCUAUUUUUUCUCAUUCUAGUGGCAGAGCAAGCUUGGAUGGUCUACAUCUCCAUAGGCAACUGCUUGCAGCCGCCUGCUGGUUAAGGCACAAAAGAACUUGCAAUGCCUUAUGUUAAAUAGGCAUAUCUGAGCUUCCUUUUCCCUUGUUUACUUUGUUAAAUCUCUGCUUUAACUAUUGUUUUUCAGUUUUUAAUUUGCCGCUGUUUUACUCUGUUUCCAGUAAAAGAUUUGAAGUCCCUCAAGAACUAAAAUUAUAUGGUGAUGAAUGAAGGCAU